AUCUACCUGACGAGUCUCAUUUGGACGAAAUGCGCAUCCUGGAU
RNAcentral lists this non-coding RNA (44 nucleotides) under Schistosoma margrebowiei. The record is from RNAcentral. Lineage: Eukaryota; Metazoa; Platyhelminthes; Trematoda; Strigeidida; Schistosomatidae.